CUAUUUAUAGUGGAGUUACCACUUAUGGCCUCCAGUCAUAAAUACUAAGAUAGA
This 54-nucleotide transfer RNA is filed under the name Romanomermis iyengari. Its description in RNAcentral is "tRNA-Gly". The record is from RNAcentral. Lineage: Eukaryota; Metazoa; Nematoda; Enoplea; Mermithida; Mermithidae.